Molecule: unclassified non-coding RNA, 2520 nt
Filed under: Drosophila pseudoobscura pseudoobscura
Lineage: Eukaryota; Metazoa; Arthropoda; Insecta; Diptera; Drosophilidae
Description: Sema-1a
Source: RNAcentral
CAACGGCCACAAAAAUACUGAAGCAUAAGUUAAGCAAAUUGUAUGGAUACUACGGAUACGGAUACAGAUACGGUUGGAUGCAAGUCUUCCUACUACUGACACUCCACGUGAUUGGUAAUCAAAGUGCCUGGCAGGAGAAUAUACGACCAAAACUCUAUGUGGAAUUAGGUCCCGAAGAUAUACUGAAGUUUCUGGGAAACGAAAGUGUCGUGGAUCACUUUAAGCUCGUCACCAAGGAUGGCAACAGUCUGCUCAUCGGUGCAAGAAAUACGGUCUUUAAUUUAAGCAUACACGAUCUCGCUGAGCAGCAGCGCCUGGUCUGGACAUCGCCGGAAGAUGAUACCAAAAUGUGUCUCGUCAAGGGUAAAGAUGAGGAGGCCUGCCAGAACUAUAUCCGCAUCAUGGUGGUGCCGUCGCCGGGGCGCCUCUUUGUGUGCGGCACCAACUCGUUCCGGCCCAUGUGCAACACGUACAUGAUCAAUGAGAACAACUACACGCUGGAGGCGACCAAAAAUGGCCAGGCUGUCUGCCCCUAUGACCCCCGUCAUAACUCCACCUCCGUGCUGGCGGACAAUGAACUGUAUUCGGGCACUGUGGCCGAUUUCAGCGGCAGUGAUCCGAUUAUCUAUCGAGAGCCCCUGCAGACCGAGCAGUACGAUAGCCUCAGUCUCAACGCCCCGAACUUUGUGAGCUCAUUCACGCAGGGAGAUUUCGUGUAUUUCUUCUUCCGCGAGACAGCCGUGGAGUUCAUCAACUGUGGCAAGGCGAUUUAUUCGCGUGUGGCCCGCGUCUGCAAAUGGGAUAAGGGUGGACCGCAUCGGUUCCGCAACCGCUGGACAUCGUUCCUCAAGUCCCGCCUGAAUUGCUCGAUACCGGGCGAUUAUCCCUUCUACUUCAAUGAGAUACAAUCGGCCAGCAAUCUGGUGGCGGGAGAGUACGGUUCGAUGAGCUCGAAACUAAUCUACGGAGUCUUUAAUACCCCCGCCAACUCGAUACCCGGCUCAGCGGUGUGUGCCUUUGCCCUGCAGGACAUAGCGGAUACCUUCGAGGGCCAGUUCAAGGAGCAGAGCGGCAUCGGCUCCAACUGGCUGCCGGUAAACAAUGCCAAGGUCCCUGAACCGCGUCCCGGCUCCUGUCACAACGAUUCACGAACGCUUCCGGAUCCGACAUUAAAUUUCAUCAAAACACAUUCGCUAAUGGACGAGAAUGUGCCGGCGUUUUUCGGUCAGCCGAUUUUGGUCCGGACGAGCACAAUAUAUCGCUUCACCCAGAUAGCUGUCGACGCCCAGAUCAAAACCCCGGGCGGCAAGACCUACGAUGUCAUAUUCGUGGGCACAGAUCACGGGAAGAUCAUCAAAUCGGUGAAUGCCGAAUCAGCUGAUUCCGCUGACAAGGUCACCUCCGUGGUCAUCGAGGAGAUCGAUGUGCUGACCAAAAGCGAACCGAUACGGAAUCUGGAAAUAGUCCGGACCAUGCAAUACGAUCAACCCAAGGAUGGCAGCUACGACGAUGGCAAAUUAAUCAUUGUGACAGACAGCCAGGUGAUAGCCAUACAAUUGCAUCGUUGUCACAAUGACAAAAUCACCAGCUGCAGCGAGUGCGUCGCCUUGCAGGAUCCUUACUGUGCCUGGGACAAAAUUGCCGGCAAGUGUCGCUCCCAUGGCGCACCACGUUGGCUGGAGGAGAACUAUUUCUAUCAGAAUGUGUCCACUGGCCAGCAUGCGGCCUGUCCCUCAGGCAAAAUCAAUUCAAAAGAUGCCAAUGUGGGCGAGCAGAAGGGUUUCCGGAAUGACAUGGACUUAUUGGAUUCGCGUCGUCAGAGCAAGGAUCAGGAAAUCAUCGACAAUAUUGAUAAGAACUUUGAAGACAUUAUCAAUGCCCAAUACACGGUGGAGACCCUGGUGAUGGCCGUGCUGGCCGGAUCGAUAUUCUCGCUGCUGGUUGGCUUCUUUACAGGCUACUUCUGCGGCCGGCGCUGCCACAAGGACGAGGACGACAAUCUGCCCUACCCGGACACGGAGUACGAGUACUUUGAGCAGCGUCAGAACGUCAAUAGCAGUUUCCCCUCGUCGUGCCGAAUCCAACAGGAGCCGAAGCUGCUGCCCCAGGUGGAGGAGGUGACCUAUGCAGAGCCAGUGCUGCUGCCACAGCCACCGCCGCAGAACAAGAUGCACUCGCCGAAGAACACGCUCCGCAAGCCACCCAUGCAUCAGAUGCACCAGGGACCCAACUCGGAGACGCUCUUCCAGUUCCAGCCAGAUGGCUACAACACCCAGCAGACAUAUCGCGGACGCGACAACUUUGGAACGUUGCGCUCCCAUCAGGUGAUGGGCGACAACUAUCGACGCGGCGAUGGCUUUUCGACCACACGCAGCGUCAAGAAGGUUUACCUUUGAGACGGGAGUGGGGCGGCUGAAACCAGUCAGGGACUAAUUACCCAAAAUAUGGCUGUAAACAACACAAACACACGAAACAGAAGUCUUGGUCGCGCAAGAAGACAGCCGCCCCGUCAUGGUAUCG